This 8755-nucleotide long non-coding RNA is filed under the name Vitis vinifera (wine grape). Its description in RNAcentral is "long non-coding RNA (VVIN_LNC001555)". The record is from RNAcentral. Lineage: Eukaryota; Viridiplantae; Streptophyta; Magnoliopsida; Vitales; Vitaceae.
AAUUUAUUUAUUUAUUAUUUCUUAUAUUGAAAUAUUGUGUUUUAACCUACUUGAAUUCUGACACAAAUGUUAUUAAAAGAGUAAAAUUGACAGCCAUUACAUGUGGGUUCACUCAAUCCAACCUUAUCGGGUCUCAAUUUGAUUCCAAGAAUUAGCCUGAUUAUCCUGACUUUGAAAAAAAAAAUGAAAAUGGAUUAGGAUCGAUUGAGCAUCUCCAUCAGAGGUCGGGUGAGGUUGGAUUUGAUUUAAGGGCUUACCAAAUCAAGGAAUCAGAUCAUUUUGAGAAAGGAAAGCACAAGCCAGCAUGGACAAACAUCACUUCCUCUUACUAUCCUGGCCAGCACAAGGCCACAUCAAUCCCACCUUUCAUCUGGUUAAGCUCCUCUUACGCCUCGGGGUACGUGUCACCUUCACCACCUUCGCUUCCGGCUUCCGCCGAAUCGCCACCCUUCCUACUCUCCCCGGCUUACACUUUGCCUCUGUCUCGGAUGGCUAUGAUGAUGGAAACCACUCCAACUUCUCCAUGGACGAGAUGAAGCGCGUAGGCUCCCAGAGUCUCUCCAACUUGCUCUUAAGCCUAUCCAACGAGCGCGGUCCUGUCACCUUCUUAAUCUACGGCCUCGUCCUCCCUUGGGCUGCCACAGUGGCUCGUGAGCACGGCAUACCCUCGGCCUUUCUGAGCACUCAGUCAGCCACUGUAAUUGCCGUUUAUCACAGAUACUUCAAGGCCCAUGAUGGUCUCUUCAAAACCGAGCUCGGAAUUCCCUUGAAUAUUUCCUUGGAAUUACCAGGAUUGCCCCCACUGAAAUACGAAGACCUACCUUCCAUUCUGUUACCAGGCAAUCCAUACGCUUCGGUUCUCCCCUGCUUUCAAGAACACAUCCAAAACCUUGAGCAAGAUCCCAACCCAUGCGUGCUAGUAAACACGUUUGAUGCGUUGGAAGAAGAUGUAAUCAAAGCCCUUGGACACUAUAUGAAUGUGGUUGCAAUCGGACCUUUGAUGCAGCUUGAUUCCUCCAUCAGCUGUGACCUAUUUGAGAGGUCUAAGGAUUAUCUUCCAUGGCUGAACUCAAAACCAGACGGCUCAGUGAUUUAUGUGUCGUUUGGAAGUCUUGCAGUGUUGCAGAAAAAGCAAAUGGAGGAGAUAUUCCAUGGACUGAUGGAAAGUCAUCGCCCUUUUUUGUGGGUGAUUCGAUCCACAGAGAGCGAAGUAGAGGAGAUGACGAACAACAGCAUGAGUGAAGAGCAAGGGCUGAUUGUGCAGUGGUGUUCCCAGGUGGAGGUGUUGUGUCACCAAGCAGUUGGAUGUUUCUUGACGCACUGUGGGUGGAACUCCAUCAUGGAGAGUCUAGUUGCAGGUGUGCCGGUGGUGGCAUGUCCCCAGUUUUCAGACCAGACGACGAAUGCAAAGCUGGUGGAGGUGUGGGGGACUGGGGUGAAAGCGAGGGCGAAUGAAGAAGGGGUUGUGGAGAGAGAAGAGAUCAAAAAAUGUUUGGAGAUGGCGAUGGAAGAUGGAGGGAAAGGGGAAGAGAUGAGAAGGAAUGCUGAGAAAUGGAAAGGAUUGGCAGUGGAAUGUAUGAGGGAGUGUGGUUCUUCAGGCAACAUUAAUCUAAAACAUUUUGUGGAAAGCUUAGAAAUCAGGACUCAUUGAUGCAAAAGCCAUCUUUAGUGGGCUUGGGCAUGAGAUGUAAUAGUUACCACAACCAAAAGUAAUAAACAUUUUGGAUCAUAUGAUUGAUGGUUUAAUAGUUUAGUUGAAGGUUACUGAAAGUUUCUGAGGAACUUUGAGAGUGGUUAUUACUUUAUUAAUUAUGGCCAAAAUUAUUUCUGUUGUUCAGAUUGGUUAUUGCUUUACUAUUAUAGUAUUUUUUAUUUUUUAUUUUGUUUUCUUUCUUCCUUUAGUGGCAGUAAUACUAGAAGAAAUAUUAUCUCCUUCUGCUAUAGAGUUUUGAAAACACAAGUGUUGUUCAUGUGUGAGUAGCAUACCAUGGAUUGAGUGGAUAUGAACAUCAUCUACAUGAGUUGUGAGAAAGGCAAUUAUGGAUUUACAAUCUUCUCCAAGGCCUCUAAGAAGUUGCAAAAUUUGGUCUCUUUCUGCUAUAGGUUCUUUGAUUGUAGCAAGAUUAUCACAAGAAUCUUUGUCUUGAGUAUAUAUUCCAUCAUCCAGAGUGAGCCUUUUUGUGUUGUCUGAAAUCUAACCGAAGUUGCAUUACCCAUGCCUUUGACAAGGCAGAGAAAAUAUUCUCCAAGGCAAACCAUGCUGCAUGAGAGGUUUGAUAAUCGACAAUCUGUCCCAUGAUCUCCAGAGUAAGAGAUGAAUAGAUCUAACUCAGGAUCACACCAUUGAAUUGUUGCAAUGCAAAAAAAUUAAUAUGGAUUUGAUUCACUAGCAUUUGUUACCUUUGGAGGACAAACCUUCAGUCUUCUAAUAUGUUCUUCAAAUCCAUUGGAAAAAAUCACAUUCACCAUUUGUGUACGCUAAAGGACGUAAUUACUUCUAUCUAGAUUGUGAGAGUAUGAUUAGCAUCUGCAAUGGUCGAAUUGUUCCAGAGGAUUGAGAAGGAGUAACAUUCAUAUUGGCUUGCGAGUUACAAAACUACGUUGAAGUAGCCACGUGAGUUGUAUAUGUGUUUGUCAUGGGAGAAAAAUGCAAGAAAGCUAAAGCGACGAAACAAAUUUUAUAGGCAUAAACCACCAAUUGUAAUUGCAAUAGCCCCAUCAUCACUGUCCCUUACUGCCCUAAUUUCCAGUCCACAUGAUUUUGCAACUAGACAAGACCUUUUUUUUUUUUAAUUCUCGUCUUAUUUUUUGGUGUGAAAUUUCUAUGGCCUUUUCAUCGAAACGAGAUUUUCCCAUGUUUCUAGUAUCUCGUUAUAUAUUUUAAAAAUAUCAGUCUCAAAAAGAAAACAUUUUUUACUUUGAAAAGAUAAUCCAUAUUUUUGAAAUUGUAAGUAAAUUAAUAUAACCUUAGUUGAAUCAAAACGUUGUCUUUUAUAAUACUUUUGUGAGAUAUUUUUUUACAAUUUCUCCGACCUAUAAAAUAUCCUUUGUUAUUUAAUAUUAAAGCAAUAUACUCAAGGAUUAAUUACCAUAAACACUAUGUAGUCAAGAACCACUAGUCUAAGAUAUUAUGUGGUGAGAUCAACAUAUUGAGUUCCUUCAAAGAUCAUCAAAACCAUGGGUUUAGGACUUAGCUCUACUUAACUAUGAUAAGUUUGAAUAGUUGACUUAUAUUUUAUAAGUUACUUGACCAUAUUAUCUAUAUAAAUAUUUGUAAAUAUUAAGGCUAAUUCUUAUUAAUUUUAUCUUUUGAAGAUGAUAAAUGUCUUUAUUGAAUGACUAAAUUUUUAUUAAUAGUGCCAUUGACUAUAGAGAGGGAUUUAAUAGAGGAGAACUUAUCAUUUCCUUUGUUGGGAGGAGCUAUUUAUAAGCUUCUUUAUCACAGGCUUUCUAUGAAAUUGCCUAUUUUUGCAGGUUUUUUUUCUUUGUGGGCUUUGUUGCAGGACAAUUGUUUUAUUACCUAGGAAUUGUGAUUUCUAAUUUCUUUUUGUUUCAAGUAUCUAUUCUUAGUGGACUUGGAGAAAAGUAUGUUUAGAGGUUCUUCCCUUUUGCUAAGGUAAAAUAAGUUUUUUACCCCUUUAAUAGCCCUAGUCCCCCAACCUCCAUUUCUUUUAGGCAGAGGACUUGAAGAGUACUGGAGGCUAUUUCUUUUUCUCCUUUUGUUGCAAGUUGUAACAAGUUGUGGUAGUUGCAAGAUGUUUGUUAACUUCAGUAGAUUCUUAGUCAGUCUUAUACAACAGUAAUAGACAAAUCCACUUUGUUAUCAGAGAUGCCAAAGAGCCACCUUCUUUCGCUUUCUGAUUUACACUUGACUAUUCUUUUUUCUUAAAUUACGUGCUGGGCAUUGAUUGUCUUGAGAUGCCAAAGAGCCAGGCUAGUGUCGUGGUCCAAAUUGUUCAAGAAAUAUCUAUUGUGGCUGCCAAGGGCAUUAAGGUUGCUCUUUGUGGAUUAUCUCUUUGUGAUGGAGACGAGCCUUUGAAAAACCAUGGGAAUCAUUUAGAGAAUGAUGUGACCCAUCCAUGCUUAGAUCUUAGGAAGGGUAGAAAAUGGCACCCCCUAUAUGUUAAGCUCUUCCCUAUUGUUAGUCUUUCAAAAUCUGGAUUGUUGUUGUAGUCUAGUUUUAUCCACCUCAAUGGGAAUUUGUUAAUUGUUUUUUGCAAUGAUUUGGGAGUGUUAGUCUAGGUUUGGAUAAUUUAUCUUACAUUUUGUUGGUACUUAUUUUUGCUAAUUCUUCUUUAGCUGAAUAUAUUAGAUGGGAAAAUAAUGUGUAUAUGGGUACUACAAUGUCUUUCUCGUCUACUUGGCCUAUAGAUAUAGCCAACUAUGAUUGGGUUCUUUUUGGGAGGUGGUUAACUCUAUAUGUUAAUAUUUCUUCUUUAAUUAGAUACAUUAAUUUUAAAAUUUAUUUAUUUUUCAUGUAAAAGAUACUCAUGAGUCAACAUGUUCAUACACGAUGAAGAAAAAAGGUCUAUUUUGUGGCCAAAGUAAGCUUCUCAUGAUAAAUAAAUAAAUAAAUAAGUGUAUACUAAUGACUAUUAGUAUUAUUAUUUAUAUAAACUAUUUUUUCCUAUGUAACAACACGGAGGAAUCCUAUAAUUUUGAAUUUGUUUCUUAGUUGUAUUUAAAGGAUUGAAUCAAUCGAUGUUUAACGAGUAAAGUGUUUAUAUAUAUAUAUAUAUAUAUAUAUAUAUAUAUAUUUCUUCUAUAUUUCCAGAAUUAUUUAUUGAUUUAUCAAUUUUUAAAAAUAAUUUUAUUUUAAUGGAAAUGGUGAAAUAUUUUUACUCUUUAGUGGAAAGUUUUACUUCUUUAUUUUCUCUUUUCAACCUCUAACUUUGUUAAAAUACUCAAGCCUAGCUUAUCACAUAAAAUAAAACUAAAUUUAUUUAAAUAUUUCUUGGCUUAAAAAAAAAACACCAAACUACCUUAAUUUUGUGCAAGUUGGAUGACAAAUAAAUUUAUCAAAAAUUAGGAUAAAAAAAUGUUUCUAAGAUAGGUUAUGUUAUUGUCAUUCCAAAACUAAAACUAAAAUUCAACUACAUUCAACUACUAUUUUUUUCCCUUAUAAUUUAUCUACUUCUCAAGGAAAUUAAAUCCAUACAUUUGUCUAGAUUUCUUGUUCAAAAAUGGAAAAAAAAAACCCAUAAAAGAUCAUAACAUUUAAAUUAAAAAUGAAUUUACCAUAAUUCUUCAAAAUUUGACCCCUUGAAAUAUAACAAAACCAAAAUAAACCAAUUAUCAACUUUAAUGAAAUUUUUUUUUUAUAAUUUUAAAACACAACUCAUCCCCAUCUAAAUAUCUACUAAAAUGAACAAUUCUAAUUUUUGAAAAUUAAAAAGUUAAUAUUUGGUGGUUUUUCCUAAAUUAAAAAUCAAAAAAUUAAUAAAUUAAUUUUAAUAAUUAAACACAUAUUUUAAUCAUAAAUCCAUAAAUCUUAAAGAUUCACAGCAUAAAAAUAGUGAGUAAUCAACGAAAUUUCACUAAAAAAUUCUUUUAAAUUUUUUACAAUGAACAGUGAUUACAAACUCUAAUUAUUAUCUAAUUAUCAAUUUUCUAACUAAUUAUAUAAUUAAUUAUUAUGGACUUUUUAUUAUUGUAAUGAAUUUUGAUAUUUGGUGAUCAUAAAAAAUAUGCUAAAUUAGUUUUUGUUUUCAAAUUAUUAAUUUUUUAAAUAUUUUAUUUUAAUUAUAUAAAAUAAAAAUAAACAUUAUAAUUAAUUUAUAGAUUUUUUUAGCAUAUAAAAAUAAAUGAGUUUAAAAAUUCACAUUAUUUGAUGUUAAUACAAAAAAACAACUUAAUGCUUAACAACAUUCAAAGGGGAUAAAAACCUAAUGCUUGACAACAUUUAGAGGUCAAUAAAAUCUAAUCUCCUGCACACUUGAGUUCCAUUCAAAUUUACGGCAAAUUCAAGUCUAUUUAAAAUUCAAACAAAAAGAUAAAGGCCACCUUGUGGUAUAUUAAUAACAUUAGUAUGUAUGUUAGCUACCAAGAACAAUAGGUUUUUAAAUCUAGAGAUUGAGGGUGACUUGAAAAUAGUUAUAGAUUGUUACAAUAAAAGGAAUAAUAUUCUUAAUUCUAUUAUGUUAUUAAUAAAGGAUAUUUGAAAAUUAUAUUAGAAUCUAAAUAUUUAUUAUUAUUGUUCUAUUUAUAAGGAAACAAAUAGAAUAACAGAUUUCUUAACUAAAAAAAUGUAUUUAUAAUUUAAAAUUAAUCAUUUGGUGGUCAAAUUUCCUUAAAAGAUAUUAAAAAGUUUAAUUUAAUUUUGAAGAUUAUUGCUAUUUAUCUUUCAAUCAUAUUUAUAGGUAUUUUACUUCAUUCUCUCUCUCUCUAAAAAUAAAAAUCAUUAGUAGUAGAGAAAGGAAGGAUCAUGCUUUUGGGUCUCUUAGAGAAAGAAAUGAAAUUAUCAAAAUUGUUGAUGGUGUCUAAAAUUAUGUUACUUUUAUAUUAAAUUUGGAAGAAUAUAUUAUAAAGUCGAUAUGAAAAUUUUCUUUUAGAAUUUUUAAAUUUCUUUAUCAGUGAAAGUAGAUAACAAUCGGAAUUCUUCAUCUUCUCAUAUUUAACUUUAUUCUUUACAUGUUCUCUUUAUAUUUAUUUUGUUCAUAAGAUAUGGAGGUAGGAUGUUUAAAUUCAACCAAAUUUUCUAGUAAGAUUAUUUUCUUUUAUUAUAUCUAAUGGCUGAAAAGGAAAUGGGUAAUAAUUUUGAAAAAUCAAGAUUUUUCUUAAGGCAAUGGAUCGUUGAAGACAAUAUUUAUAACAUAAAAAAUCAAGAUUUUUCUUAAGACAAGGGAUUGUCGAAGACAACCUUGGUAGUAUAGGUACUAUGACAAAUUAAGGUAUAUAAAAUAUCAGUGUGGGAUCCAUCAUUUUAGACCUUAGUCUUGUACAUCAAAUGUUUCAAACUUGGUUGGUCUAACUUAUCCAAUGUCUUUAAAUGUUUUCUAAGCCCAAUGCCCCCCAUCUUUGACUUUUCUUCAUUUCCUAUUUCAUGUUGUUUUCACGCAUUGAAUAACGUAACUGGCAUGGCCUAGAUUAUUAAUGGGGUGUCAUGGAAUCCAUGGAAAAUAAUUUAAAUUUCUUUAUUUGAUUUUACAUCAAAAUGUGACGAAUAAUUAUUCUAUAUUGAAAAGAAUACUUUUGUUCCUAUGAUUGGCCAUGGUUAAACAAAUGUUACUCUUAAUUUUUAUUUUUAUUUUUAACAAAUUUCAAGAUGAAAAAUAAAACAUUUAUGAAUCAAAAGAUAGGUAUCUUAUAUGUAAAUAUUAAAAAAAAUAUUAAAACUUAUAAAAAAAAAUUAUAAAUGGACAUGACUAUUAAUAAAACAUGGUAUUUAAUGGGUGUUUGGUAAAUCGAUUUAAUAACUUAAAGUAAUUUAAUAACUUAAUUUAAAUUAUUAAGUAAAUAGAUUUGGUAAAACAAUUUAAUAGUAUCAAGUUAAAAACAAUUUUAAAUAAUAAGUGAAAUCAAUUAACUUAUUCUUAAGUCUACAUCUUUAUUUUAUAUUUUUAUCCUUAUUUAUCCUAAUUACCUCUAUGACCUUCUUUCCUGCUCCAUCACCUUCACUGUUACUAAACCUUAUUUGCUUUAAUUAUAAUUUAUGAGGAUAAAUAUAUCCAUUUUAUGAUUUAAAAUAUAUUUUAAGUUAAUUUUAUAAAAUAAUUUUAAUACUUAUAAAAAGAAUUAAGUAAUAAGUUUUAAUUUAAUAAUUUAAAUAUAAUUUAAUUUAAAAUCAAUUUAAAUUAUUAAAUAAUAAAUAUUAAAUUUUAUAAGAUACUUAUGCAAUCCAAUAUCUAAAAGGAAAGAAAAAAAAAACCAUUUUAAUAUUUAAAUUCCACCCAAGUUGAAAGUUAUUAUAUAAACGUCAACUCAAAUAUCAAUUGCCUUUGCUGAAAGGUUCGAAUAAGCCAAGCUUAAUGCCAACUUGAUUUGAUAUUUAACUUUUUGUUAUAUUGAAAUAUUGUGUUUUUUAUUAUUUAAAUUUUGAUAAAAUAUAUUUUUUUUAAAUGAAAAAUUGACAGCCAUUGAACGUGGGUUCACCGAAUCCAACCUUAUCCAGUCCCAAUUUGAUUUGACCAAUUAACCUAAUUAUCCCAACUUUGAAAAAAACGAAGAUGAAUUAGAAUGGAUUGAGCAUCUCCAUUAAGUCAAUAAAUCAGGCCUUUGCGAGAAAGGAAAGCACAGACAAGGAUGGACAAACAUCAUUUCCUCUUACUAUCCUGCCCAGCACAAGGCCACAUCAAUCCCACCCUUCAUCUGGCCAUGCUCCUCUUACGCCUAGGGGUACGUGUCACCUUCGCCACCUUCGUGUCCGGCCUCCGCCGCAUCGCCACCCUUCCUACUAUCCCCGGCUUGCACUUUGCCUCUUUCUCGGAUGGCUACGAUGAUGGAAACAACUCCAACUACUCCAUGGAAGAGAUGAAGCGCGUAGGCUCCCAGAGCCUCUCCAACUUGCUCUUAAGCCUAUCCAACGAGCGCGGUCCUGUCACCUACUUAAUCUACGGAUUCCUCCUGCCCUGGGCAGCCACAGUGGCUCGUGAGCACGGCAUACCCUCAGCCUUUCUGAGCACUCAGUCAGCCACUGUAAUUGCCGUUUAUCAUCGAUACUUGAAGGCCCAUGACGGUCUCUUCAAUACCGAGCUCGGAAGUUCCUUGAAUAUUUCCUUGGAAUUACCAGGAUUGCCCCCACUGAAAUACGAAGACC